CCCCCUGCGCCCCCCAUCCAGUGUCCUCGUCCUGUAUACUCAUCUGCCCUAGAAUCUGCAGGUGUACCGGUGAAUCGAGUCAGGGAGAAGAAACCCGAGACGGGGGAAUCAAGUCAAGAUCUGGGUUUGCUUGCCCAGAUGUGAUAUCUUGUGCAUUUUAAUUUUUUUUCUGAAUUAUUUUGUGAAGGAUUUGUUAUUUGUGUUUAUGGAUCAGUUGCUGGAAGAAAUAGAAGUCGAUGUAUGGAUCAUGCAGUUUUAACUUACAUGUCUGUCUAUCUGCUCAUGUUUCCCGAGUUCCCUGUGGAGUAUGGAUCACUAAAUUAUUUUCUGUUCUCAGAUCUGUCUUGCUGGAGGUCAAAUAACUAUGGAUCUAUCUUGUUGGAGGUCAGGAACUUCAAGAAUGUCAUUCAGCAUUGGAGGAGGCAAAGGCUGAUAUAGUUGGUCAGUGGGUGCUGAAUUUUCUUAUAAACAAGGUUGGUUACUUCAUCGGUUAUCAGAGUAUCAGGGCACUUGUGUUAGAGCCCAGUGUUGUGGGGCCCAAGCCAGCCAAUUCCUUAUAUUUCUGUAGGGAAAUAUUAGGGAUGCAUAUUCCUUUCUUUAUAUCCCCAGUAUGCAAUCAUAUAAUACUUAAAAUGGAAUCACAUAAUAUCUCGUUUGCAUCUGUUCUGUCAGGGGUUGCUUCCUAAGAGCCUAUCAAAAUCUAUGUAUGUCUAUUUCCCGGCUGGAUGCUUUCGGUCAAUUAAUUGCUUCUUAUUGUGCCAAUCGGUUGAAGUUGAACAACUAUAUAUUUUUUUCCCAUGACCAUAGUAGGUUUGGAAGAGAAACUAAAACCAAGAUUAAUUUCGAGUUGAAGUCACACUUCUGUGUUUGUUAUUCGUGUCUUUACAAAAAAGUUUGGUCUCACAUGAAAUUAGUCUAUUUGUUUAUUUACGGCGGAUCUCACAUGUGAGUAAAGUAUAUUUGUUUAUAUAUCUCUUGAAAGAUUGCUAGUUCCACACAUGGGGAUGUGGAUGCGUGUAUUUGUUUAUUUGGAAAGGAUGUUUGACCCACAGGUGAACUCACCACCAACUCCAAUCUUUAUAAGUAGGAAACAUAUCCAAGCCAGAAUUAUUGAUCCUCCUCUCCUGCCUUCACCAAUUAAACAUACAAUUAAAGCUUUUGUUGAUCUUAUUCUGAAGCCUAAUGGAGAUGAUUCAAAGAAGUGGCCACAGAGAUUUGUGUUAGAUGCUUAAACCAUGGAUUGUCACAUUUAUCCCUUUUGUGCAUGUGAUCCUGUAUAUAUACAUAUCUGUCUGCUCUUUUUUGAACAUUUGCAUACCAUACAUCUCUAUUUCUGACAUAGGGUUUGAGUGUUUCCAUGUUACAACAAUGAAUAAAAAUUUCAUCGAUGCAGGUCCAUCUUUUCAGACCACAGGAUCAUCCUAGUAUCCCUGAAUAUCUUGCUUGUUUUCUUUUGACUAACCAUCUGAGAAUAGAAUCGUAGAUGUCAUUCAACAAAGAUGAACACUUAUGAAGUUGGAAGUUUGCAAAAUGUGGUGAGAGUAUAGGUUGUGGCCCCAUCAAUAAUGUCAUGUCCACAAGCAUCUUGUAAGUUCCUGCACCUUUGUUCCAUAUUCAAAACUACAACAAAUGUUCUAGAAUGUACCAUGUUUGUUCAUUCUUCAACAAAUUGUUUCUUCCAUGAUGAGUAAAGCUGAAUUAUAAUGUGGCCAUCCUUUGCAUUUCUCUUGAGCAAAUUGUAGACCAUAGCAAGUUCAUUUAUUUACUCUAAUGUUCGCACAUUAUAAUGUUCGCAAAUUAUAAUGCUCAUCUCUUUUUAUUGUGUGUAUAAUGGAUUUCUUUCCUGCUAGCAUAUACACCUACUUGCUGCUAGCAUAUACACUGUACAAGUUACUGGUAGAAAAUUUAUGUCGAAGGGAGAUUCAUGUGCACUUUCUAAAAGUAUGGAUGCUAUACUAUUGUACUUUUGUCAUCUUAUUUUUGGGUACUUUCAUAUAUUUCAUUUGUUCACCAUUUUAGCUGUGUUUCCUUUGCCUACAGUUAUGACCAUAUCUACUGAUUCAUAUGUACUGAAUUAUUUCAGUUCCCUGGUGCCGUGUGGGGCAUGCCAUAUGCUCAUGGACCAUUUUCCACACAUGCACAAGUGUCGCUCCCCAAAAGUUACUUACCAAGACUGAACCAAGCUAUUCUCAGGCUAUGAUGGGAUGUCAAUGCUUCAACUAGAGUAUCUUUUUAACUUGCCUUCAUAUGAUGAAGUUUAGUGGCAGCUCCUGUUAAGUUAAGCAUUUUGUGUACUGUGAAUUGGAUGUGAUCUUGUGCACAUUGAGAUAUAAAUAGAUAUAUUGUGAUCUUGUGAACUAUGACUGGGCUUUGAUGUAUUUGUUUGUGCAUUAAUAUGAAUGGCUGUGGAAAAAUA
This is a long non-coding RNA of Triticum dicoccoides, 2416 nucleotides long. RefSeq lists it as uncharacterized. The record is from RefSeq and is a predicted model, not a curated record. Lineage: Eukaryota; Viridiplantae; Streptophyta; Magnoliopsida; Poales; Poaceae. The transcript has 3 exons.